GACGAACGCUGGCGGCAUGCCUUACACAUGCAAGUCGAACGGCAGCACGGAGCUUGCUCUGGUGGCGAGUGGCGAACGGGUGAGUAAUAUAUCGGAACGUACCCAAGAGUGGGGGAUAACGUAGCGAAAGUUACGCUAAUACCGCAUACGAUCUAAGGAUGAAAGCAGGGGACCUUCGGGCCUUGUGCUCCUGGAGCGGCCGAUAUCUGAUUAGCUAGUUGGUGAGGUAAAGGCUCACCAAGGCAUCGAUCAGUAGCUGGUCUGAGAGGACGACCAGCCACACUGGAACUGGGACACGGUCCAGACUCCUACGGGAGGCAGCAGUGGGGAAUUUUGGACAAUGGGGGCAACCCUGAUCCAGCAAUGCCGCGUGAGUGAAGAAGGCCUUCGGGUUGUAAAGCUCUUUUGUCAGGGAAGAAACGGUGAAGGCUAAUAUCCUUUGCUAAUGACGGUACCUGAAGAAUAAGCACCGGCUAACUACGUGCCAGCCGCCGCCGUAA
This 500-nucleotide ribosomal RNA is filed under the name uncultured bacterium. RNAcentral describes it as "partial 16S ribosomal RNA". It matches the Rfam family "Bacterial small subunit ribosomal RNA", at positions 28 to 523 of the family's 1533-position model. The record is from RNAcentral.